GGAUGUUUAGCUCAGUUGGUAGAGCUUCUGACUCUUAAUCAGGCGGUCCUGGGUUCGAGUCCCAGAACAUUCA
This 73-nucleotide transfer RNA is filed under the name Rickettsiales bacterium (ex Bugula neritina AB1). RNAcentral describes it as "tRNA-Lys". It matches the Rfam family "tRNA". Rfam says of the family: Transfer RNA (tRNA) molecules are approximately 80 nucleotides in length. Their secondary structure includes four short double-helical elements and three loops (D, anti-codon, and T loops). Further hydrogen bonds mediate the characteristic L-shaped molecular structure. tRNAs have two regions of fundamental functional importance: the anti-codon, which is responsible for specific mRNA codon recognition, and the 3' end, to which the tRNAs corresponding amino acid is attached (by aminoacyl-tRNA synthetases). tRNAs cope with the degeneracy of the genetic code in two manners: having more than one tRNA (with a specific anti-codon) for a particular amino acid; and 'wobble' base-pairing, i.e. permitting non-standard base-pairing at the 3rd anti-codon position. Lineage: Bacteria; Pseudomonadati; Pseudomonadota; Alphaproteobacteria; Rickettsiales. The record is from RNAcentral.